GAUGAACGCUGGCGGCGUGCCUAAUACAUGCAAGUCGAGCGAACAGACGAGGAGCUUGCUCCUCUGACGUUAGCGGCGGACGGGUGAGUAACACGUGGAUAACCUACCUAUAAGACUGGGAUAACUUCGGGAAACCGGAGCUAAUACCGGAUAAUAUAUUGAACCGCAUGGUUCAAUAGUGAAAGACGGUUUUGCUGUCACUUAUAGAUGGAUCCGCGCCGCAUUAGCUAGUUGGUAAGGUAACGGCUUACCAAGGCAACGAUGCGUAGCCGACCUGAGAGGGUGAUCGGCCACACUGGAACUGAGACGCGGUCCAGACUCCUACGGGAGGCAGCAGUAGGGAAUCUUCCGAAAUGGGCGAAAGCUUGACGGAGCAACGCCGCGUGAGUGAUGAAGGUCUUCGGAUCGUAAAACUCUGUUAUUAGGGAAGAACAAAUGUGUAAGUAACUAUGCACGUCCUGACGGUACCUAAUCAGAAAGCCACGGCUAACUACG
RNAcentral lists this ribosomal RNA (495 nucleotides) under uncultured bacterium. RNAcentral describes it as "partial 16S ribosomal RNA". It matches the Rfam family "Bacterial small subunit ribosomal RNA", at positions 28 to 505 of the family's 1533-position model. The record is from RNAcentral.